GCGCCGAUGGUCUAGAGGUAUGACUUUGGCCUUCCAAGCCAACUGCCCGGGUUCAAAUCCCGGUCGGCGCA
RNAcentral lists this transfer RNA (71 nucleotides) under Methanomicrobia archaeon. It matches the Rfam family "tRNA". Rfam says of the family: Transfer RNA (tRNA) molecules are approximately 80 nucleotides in length. The record is from Rfam by way of RNAcentral. Lineage: Archaea; Methanobacteriati; Methanobacteriota; Methanomicrobia.